Long non-coding RNA from Rosa rugosa (rugosa rose), 1081 nucleotides. RefSeq lists it as uncharacterized. The record is from RefSeq and is a predicted model, not a curated record. The transcript has 6 exons. Lineage: Eukaryota; Viridiplantae; Streptophyta; Magnoliopsida; Rosales; Rosaceae.
GCUACAGUUUCACCUUACAAGCUUAACUGAUAGACAGUACCUUCCACAUAUUAAUUAGUACCCACCUCAUCCACAAGAUGCUAUAAAUGCACUGCAAAAGUAGACUGAAAGAAGAAGAAGUGCAGGAAUAUUACGACUCAGAUAUCUUAGUUUUCAAUUUCAAAUUCUCAGUUUGUAAAUCAAAAUCAAAAGCUCAGAUAUCUCUCUCUCUCCCUCCCUCACUGACUCGCUCACUCGCAGCGUCUCUCAAAUCAGCUCGCUUCUCUGUCUUUGAUUCCCAAGAAGAUCAGCUCGCUUUUCUCUGCACAUUACUCCCUUCGGUUCCCGCAAUGCUCCUCCGAUUCUAAUUACAGGCUUACCAAGUUGAAUUGGAGUCAUUGGCGGUUGAAUUAGACGAGGAGAACGAGCGGCUUUUGAAAGAGAAGAUGUUGUAGCAGUAGCACCUCCAUUUCUUUACUUGGAUCAAGUGAAGAGCUCACUAACAGAUCGUAUUGAGAUAUCCGGUCAAAAUUCUUGGGUUGGAAAAGGUGGGGCUUUCACUGGGGAAAUCAGACAUGUUCCCAGUGCCUACUGAACAAGCAACAAAACUGCAAGAUAGGAGAUGGAUCCCUAUCAAACCUCACAUAACAGCUAGUGUGGAGCAUGUUGGGGGAGAUGCUAUAUUCCUGAAGUGGAUCCUUCAUGAUUGGAGUUCCACAAAUGAGCAAAUCCUUGCGUCAGUGCAGUCCGAGAACCUGCUUGCUCUCAAAUAAUUGUUGGCUAUAGGCCUAUAGCAGUGGUCUAAACAACUUGGGUCAUCAAGAGUCUUCUUUUGUGCCCCUGAAUUCCGAUUUAUGUGUGUUUAGAACUUUAGAUGUAGGCCUAGUUCAUUACUAGGUUUGGUUGGCUGUGUUUCUUCUAUUUGAUUUCUAUAGUCUUUUUUCUUUGUUGAUAUUAUUGGUUAGAACUUGUCUGAAUAAACAUAAUGUAUUAUACAAAACAAAUACAUCAUAUUUCAUACUUCCUAAUUACGAAUACGAUCCUGGUUACAGUUUACAUUUACAUUGCUGAUAUGAAAUAUGCAGUGCAAUUUGAUGUCUUU